Molecule: ribosomal RNA, 492 nt
Filed under: uncultured bacterium
Lineage: Bacteria
Description: partial 16S ribosomal RNA
Rfam family: Bacterial small subunit ribosomal RNA
Source: RNAcentral
AUUGAACGCUGGCGGCAUGCUUUACACAUGCAAGUCGAACGGUAACAGGCCUUCGGGUGCUGACGAGUGGCGAACGGGUGAGUAAUGCAUCGGAACGUACCCAGAGGUGGGGGAUAACGCAGCGAAAGCUGUGCUAAUACCGCAUGUGAUCUGAGGAUGAAAGCGGGGGACCGAGCAGCAAUGUUUGGCCUCGCGCCUUUGGAGCGGCCGAUGUCGGAUUAGCUAGUUGGUGGGGUAAUGGCCUACCAAGGCGACGAUCCGUAGCUGGUCUGAGAGGACGACCAGCCACACUGGGACUGAGACACGGCCCAGACUCCUACGGGAGGCAGCAGUGGGGAAUUUUGGACAAUGGGCGCAAGCCUGAUCCAGCAAUGCCGCGUGCGGGAAGAAGGCCUUCGGGUUGUAAACCGCUUUUGGCAGGAACGAAACGGUGUCCGCUAAUACCGGGCGCUAAUGACGGUACCUGCAGAAUAAGCACCGGCUAACUACGUG